CAGAAGAACAGUGAGGGUUAGGCGAUGGAGAUUAAUAACUUGCCCAGGGUCAUACAGAAUAUAAGCCCCCUGAGGGUAAAGACUAUUUCCAGGAUGCAGUGGAUGAUCUUGUGGUCUUCCAUGUCUAAGCAAGCUCAGAAGUGCUCCACAGCACCUGCUUCAGUCAGAAGAAAGAUACAACCGAAACGCCGUGCCCUGAAAAAUCCUGCUCGUUGUUUGGACCCUGAAACACAUGGCUCCUUCUGGCUAGGAUAACAAGACCUUUUCUUUGAAGGCUGCAUGGAUCACAGAAGCAAGAGCGGCACUCGGAGCAACCCCUUCAAAGAAAAAGAGGGCAGAGGAACCCCCACUCAGAGGCUGUGUUCUCAGUGGGGACCUUCAUUGCUUGGAUUGAAGAAUAUUCUCAUCAAAACCGUAGAGUAGAAAGAGGAAAGACUCGAGAACUAUAAACCUGAGUUCAAAUCCCAACUCUGAAGCAGACUAAUUGAGUGCAAGUUAUUUAAUCUUCUGGGCUUCUGUUUUCUCAUCUGAAAAAGGAGAGGGGUGAGGGCAGCUAGGUAGCACAGUGGAUGUGCUCCAGGCUGGAGUUGUGAGUGGGGGGACCUGAGUUCAAAUAGGACCUCAGACAUUUCCUAGCUAUGAGACCCUGGGGAAAUGACUUAUCCCUCAUUGCCUAGCUCUUGCUUCUCUUCUGUCUUAGAAUUGAUACUAAAACAGAAGAAAAGGAGGGGAUUAGAAAAGAUGAGUCCUGAGGUCCCUUCCAGCUCUCCAUCUACCAGGAUUCUGUUUUUCCUAGCUUGGUACUGAAUUCUAAAAGGCAAGAUCUAUCUCUCUAUGCAGCUGCUAUUCCCACAGUGGCACAAAGCAAUAAUAAUAAUAACAUAGUAUUUUAUGUGCAUGUGUUAUAUAUGCAUGUAUAUAUGUAACCUAUGUGCAUAUAUGUACACACACCUAUGUGAAAGGCUACGAUCCAUACUGCUUGGAAGGCCAGGUAGGUUAGAUUUCUACCUUUCCCCUGAGGUUCUCUGGUACCCUUAAGGGGACUAAGUUCUCUCCAAUGGCUCCUGCUCCACCAGUGGGGCUCCCACAAUUAGGAGUGCCUCCCUGUACCAUAAUUCCAUUUGGUCACUAACAAUCAGAUUCAAUUUUACACAAAACUAUUUAUUUCAGAAGCUAUAAUCACAAAUACACAAAUAUACAAACUUAUUUUCCCAACAUAUUGGAGGCAUAAUCCUCCUUCUUCAUCAGCACCUUA
Molecule: long non-coding RNA, 1255 nt
Filed under: Monodelphis domestica (gray short-tailed opossum)
Lineage: Eukaryota; Metazoa; Chordata; Mammalia; Didelphimorphia; Didelphidae
Description: lncRNA (ENSMODG00000031566.2)
Source: RNAcentral